Molecule: long non-coding RNA, 976 nt
Organism: Ostrinia nubilalis (European corn borer)
Lineage: Eukaryota; Metazoa; Arthropoda; Insecta; Lepidoptera; Crambidae
Exons: 2
Source: RefSeq, a predicted model, not a curated record
CUCUACCAUGAGUUGCCAUCGAAAACUUGUAUUCGUAUACUACAGUCGAUAGAGUUUAAACGUGGAUCGAUGAAGUUUGCAUUAAAAUCAUACCAUGAGUUCAAUUACCGUAUACUUUACUCGCCAGCGAUAAUUCGAUGGUUUUGUGAUGUAAUGUUGGUGAGCAUGUUAACGUAUCCAACUUCACACUCUAUGAAUGGAUGAAUGAAAGAACGAAUGCCGCUCCUUUCUAACUAUAUAGAAAAGAUAGAGUAGGAAAUAACAAAAAUGUCAAAAAUAACACUGCAAAAUUUAAGUGUCCUAGAACAGUGCUUAAAGCUGAAUUAACAUGAUGAUUUUAAAUUUGUAUUGUUUAUUUCUUGUCAUCGCGACUUUGACGCAGCUGUUGUCAUGACAACAGAUAACAAAACAUGUUUUGUUGAAAUAUUAUUGAUGAAUAAUUUUCCACAAAAAAUUGGAUUUUAACCACGAUAGGAAAAUGAGAACCUGCGCCUAUCCGUUUAAACCGAUUGUAGAAUUUAUGGAAAGAUAUCGCGAUCUGAGUAUGCCCACUGAAGGGCCCCAAGAAAGAGCCAACAAUAGUCAACGGUGGGUGGAACUAACGGACACGCGAACGUGAAAUGCUGAUGCCACCGCACCGGCGACAGGAAAACUACUGAGAAAUUGAGAAAAGUGUGUAUAAAUACCUACUACUUUAUUCAUUUUGAUUGCUUUUAUCUUAUUUCGUCAUUAUUAUUUGUUAAGGUGUGACAGUGACUUUAAGCAGCAAGAAGAAGGCAACUCGCAUACACAGAGCUGCCAAGGAAACACUGGACUGGUGGCGGUCCAGGUUCUUCCCUGAAGCCAAAGGAUUUAGAGCAGAGUGCUUGUAAAUAACUACUUGUAAAUUAAAUCCAUAAUAAAGACCUAGGGUAACUGGAUGGAUAUACCUACCUUAUUAUUGUAAAACUUAAGAUAUUAUAAUUAAUUAAAUACA